RNAcentral lists this ribosomal RNA (253 nucleotides) under uncultured bacterium. Its description in RNAcentral is "partial 16S ribosomal RNA". It matches the Rfam family "Bacterial small subunit ribosomal RNA", at positions 524 to 776 of the family's 1533-position model. The record is from RNAcentral.
UACGAAGGGGGCUAGCGUUGCUCGGAAUCACUGGGCGUAAAGCGCACGUAGGCGGACUCUUAAGUCGGUGGUGAAAUCCUGGAGCUCAACUCCAGAACUGCCUUCGAUACUGGGAGUCUCGAGUCCGAGAGAGGUGAGUGGAACUGCGAGUGUAGAGGUGAAAUUCGUAGAUAUUCGCAAGAACACCAGUGGCGAAGGUGGCUCACUGGCUCGGUACUGACGCUGAGGUGCGAAAGCGUGGGGAGCAAACAGG